AGUACGUCGCAGAUGAACUCAAGGAUGACGGGCCCGCACAGCGAGGACAUGUGGUUAAUUCGAUGAUACGCGAGGAACCUUACCUGGGCUCAAAUGCAGGCAGCAUGAGGCGGAAACGCUUCUUCCCUUCGGGGCCGCCUGCAAGGUGCUGCAUGGUUGUCGUCAGCUCGUGCCGUGAGGUGUCGGGUCAAGUCCCAUAACGAGCGCAACCCCUGUCGUCAGUUGCCAGCAGGUAAAGCUGGGGACUCUGUCGAGACUGCCGGCGCAAGCCGCGAGGAAGGUGGGGAUGACGUCAAAUCAGCACGGCCCUUAUGUCCAGGGCUACACACGUGUUACAAUGGCCGGUACAGAGGGGAGCUACCUGGUGACAGGAUGCCAAUCCCGAAAGCCGGUCCCAGUUCGGAUCGGAGUCUGCAACCCGACUCCGUGAAGUUGGAUUCGCUAGUAAUCGUAUAUCAGCCAUGAUACGGUGAAUACGUUCCCGGGCCUUGUACACACCGCCCGUCAAGCCAUGGAAGCCUGGGGUACCUGAAGUCCGUGACCGCAAGGAGCGGCCUAGGGUAAAACGUAUGGGGCUAAGUCGUAACAAGGUAACCGUA
Molecule: ribosomal RNA, 599 nt
Filed under: uncultured rumen bacterium
Lineage: Bacteria
Description: bacterial SSU rRNA
Rfam family: Bacterial small subunit ribosomal RNA
Source: RNAcentral